CAGCAGUAGCCACGGUAAUACAGAGGGUGCGAGCGUUAAUCGGAUUUACUGGGCGUAAAGCGUGCGUAGGCGGCUUUUUAAGUCGGAUGUGAAAUCCCUGAGCUUAACUUAGGAAUUGCAUUCGAUACUGGGAAGCUAGAGUAUGGGAGAGGAUGGUAGAAUUCCAGGUGUAGCGGUGAAAUGCGUAGAGAUCUGGAGGAAUACCGAUGGCGAAGGCAGCCAUCUGGCCUAAUACUGACGCUGAGGUACGAAAGCAUGGGGAGCAAACAGGAUUAGAUACCCCAGUAGUCCCUGUCUCUUAUAC
RNAcentral lists this ribosomal RNA (304 nucleotides) under uncultured bacterium. RNAcentral's name for it is "partial 16S ribosomal RNA". It matches the Rfam family "Bacterial small subunit ribosomal RNA", at positions 506 to 807 of the family's 1533-position model. The record is from RNAcentral.